AGCGAACGCUGGCGGCAGGCCUAACACAUGCAAGUCGAACGGAUCCCUCGGGAUUAGUGGCGGACGGGUGAGUAACACGUGGGAACGUGCCCUUUGGUUCGGAACAACUCAGGGAAACUUGAGCUAAUACCGGAUGUGCCCUUCGGGGGAAAGAUUUAUCGCCAUUGGAGCGGCCCGCGUCUGAUUAGCUAGUUGGUGAGGUAACGGCCCACCAAGGCGACGAUCAGUAGCUGGUCUGAGAGGAUGAUCAGCCACACUGGGACUGAGACACGGCCCAGACUCCUACGGGAGGCAGCAGUGGGGAAUCUUGCGCAAUGGGCGAAAGCCUGACGCAGCCAUGCCGCGUGAAUGAUGAAGGUCUUAGGAUUGUAAAAUUCUUUCAGCGGGGACGAUAAUGACGGUACCCGCAGAAGAAGCUCCGGCUAACUUCGUG
Molecule: ribosomal RNA, 433 nt
Filed under: uncultured bacterium
Lineage: Bacteria
Description: partial 16S ribosomal RNA
Rfam family: Bacterial small subunit ribosomal RNA
Source: RNAcentral